UCACACAUAUUAUUGAGACCAACUAGCAACAUAGAAAGCACAAUAGUGUACCAACAAUGGCAGCUAAAAUAUUUUGCCUCCUUAUGCUCCUUGGUCUUUCUGCAAGUGCUGCUACGGCGACCAUUUUCCCACAAUGCUCACAAGCUCCUAUAGCUUCCCUUCUUCCCCCGUACCUCUCACCAACGGUGUCUUCGGUAUGUGAAAACCCAAUUCUUCAACCCUACAGGAUCCAACAGGCAAUCGCAGCUGGCAUCUUACCUUUAUCACCCUUGUUCCUCCAACAAUCAUCAGCCCUAUUACAGCAGUUACCUUUGGUGCAUUUAUUGGCACAAAACAUCAGGGCACAACAACUACAACAACUUGUGCUAGCAAACCUUGCUGCCUACUCUCAGCAACAGCAGUUUCUUCCAUUCAACCAACUAGCUGCAUUGAACUCUGCUUCUUAUUUGCAACAACAACAACUACCAUUCAGCCAGCUAUCUGCUGCCUACCCCCAGCAAUUUCUUCCAUUCAACCAACUGACAGCAUUGAACUCUCCUGCUUAUUUACAGCAGCAACAACUACUACCAUUCAGCCAGCUAGCUGGUGUGAGCCCUGCUACCUUCUUGACACAACCACAGUUGUUGCCGUUCUACCAGCACGCUGCGCCUAACGCUGGCACCCUCUUACAACUGCAACAAUUGCUGCCAUUCAACCAACUUGCUUUGACAAACCCAGCAGCAUUCUACCAACAACCCAUCAUUGGUGGUGCCCUCUUUUAGAUUUCUUAUGAGUUAUAGUUCAAUAAUAAAGUUUUUUGUCUGAUGUUUGUGGCUUCCCAGAAAUAAGAAAGUACAUUUCUAGAUUCUUAUGUGCUUCUAGUCUCCAAAUGUGGUUGAUAGUUAUUUUGCUCUAAGAUCAACAGUAAUGAAGUAUAAAUCAUCGUUGUGGUGUGCUACUCGGUUAAUUGAGCAUUAACACACACAAACAUGACGAGGAUGGUAUAAUCUCCAAAAAUGUGUACUUUGUUAGGUGGGACCCUAUAGCCUUGAUUAAUGUGCUAUGUUAGGCAUGCCUGGAAACGUGUGACGCAUAUGUUUUGUGAACCUGUUGAUAUUAUAUGUGCUUUUAUAUUACCAUAUUUUAUUAAAAUACUAAUAUUUAUUACUAGUAAGAUAUAACAUUCUAUCUAGCUUAAAAACUAACCAUAAAUAUUCCAUAAUAACUAGAUUUACCAAACUAAUAUACUAAAUAUACAUAAUAAAUACAAAAUUAACAAGACAAUAAUCAAUAUUUAUGAGCUUAAUAUAUUUAGACAUUAUGGUUGGUCGACGAUAAUCAUGCUAACUUUUCGUAAUUGCUUGAUUGUAAAUAUGCUUAGAAUAAUGCCUCUUUGUUCUACAUGGCAAAUAGGGACCAUUAUGGUGUAACACCCUGGGAACCACAAACACCCCGAAAUGCUACUAAACUACACAACUAACCUUCAUAUAUAAAAUUUCGACAGCAUCUCCUUUGAAAAUUUGCAUAGACGUGGAAGCAACAGAGUAUAAACAGAUAUCAUGAUAAGAAAACAUACUAGACAUUAAUAAUCUGCUAGAAAUGGGAAGAUAACCAUAACGACAUAAACUGAAUUAACUAGUGUGCACAACUUGUUAAAAACAAACAUCGUUGACAAGAAGUUUCUAAUUAAAUCAUGGUUGUGCCUGGGCAGCGUUAUUAUGAGAGUGAAGGUGGACGUGAUGCUACUUCCCUCAUUCCCAACAUGAAUCAAGUACCUGCAUUGAGCAAUGCAAGAGUGAGAUGAAAACAUCUCAGCAAGUAAAUUGUUUUGACGAGAUAUUUAAACCAAAAAAAUUUGAUUUACUCAACAUUUUAAAGGGAUCACAAUUGAGAUCAGAAAUACUUGUAGAUAUAGAACUCAAUAGUCCCAAAAUAACCAGUGCCAUCUCAUUUCCUCAAACAACCACAAUAGGUUGUAUAACACUUCCCUGCGUCAUCAAUACCUGCAAAUAUCACUUCAAUGUAUGCAUAGGAAUGCAAUGUUUAAGUCCUCUGCAUUCAUACUUCUUAGAGUAUAAAACCACACCAUCUGCAAAUAUCACUUCAAUGAAUGCAUAUGAAUGCAAUGCAUAUGUCCUCUGCCUUCAUACCUCUAAGGGUAUGAAGCCGAAUCGUACCCCUCCUCGGGCAACGUACGAUGCUAAGUUGUACCGGUACGGUCGGACCAUAGGUCACGACAAAACUUCAUAUGCAAGUGAAUCAUGACAUGUAUAUGGCUUGCUGCAUUUAUCAAUAUACUUCACUUCCUUCAUAUACAAUACAAACCUCAAAUAAUACUUCGUUUACCUUCAGAUACAAUACAAACCUCAAAUAAUACUUCAUUCACCUUCAGGGGUGUUUAUUAAUCUCGUGGGUCAUACUCGAAUCAUCAUCAUCAUCAAUGAUGAUUAAGCAUCAGUAUAAUACAAUCAAGUAAAGCAUCACCAUAGAGUUCAAUUAUGAAAGAAUUCGAUGAUUCUGAAUAUUAGAGUGUAUGCGAUGAAACAACAACGUCAAAACGGUAGCAACCACCGCUACAUUCAUUUGCCUUCAUCGAAGAAGAAAAAUGUACUAGGCAUGAUUCAGAGUGUAGACACCUGCUGUGGGGCUUAAAACUUAGUACAAAUAUUCCACAAACAUUUGCCAACAAUUAACAAAUCGCUCCUACACUUGAAACCAAGACCCGGUGGAAUGACUCCCACCCUGAACCACAUGCCAAACAAUAGUAGUGCUGUUUGUUAAUUUUGUAUCUUUAAAAUUAUAACAGUGGUGAUAUCAAACAAAUACUCUAGAAGUUUCUACACAAAAUACUCUACAACUUCGGUAUUCAAUGGAUAAUUAAAUUUUGCCAUCUAUAAGUUCUAAAACAUCUGAUAAGAUAACUGACUGAAUUUGUUUCAGACAGCAGCAUAGUUAACUUCAAAAUUCGAUAUCUCCCAAACUCCUCAACCAAAAAUUAUGAAAUUAUGCUGACAGUAAGAACUUUUUGUCCCUCUACAAAAGUAUCUAUAGUUGGAAGAGCCAAUUCGGCCAUUUACUAGAUGAAACCUACCAGUUAACAGACCCGCUCAUUUUUGUCAGGCAAACAAGAACCCUUAUAUAUCAAAGAGUAGUGGAUUUGAAUUUGUCUAAUAUGAAGUUUAUGGGCUUGGAUCAUUUAAAGUAUUUUAUAAUUCUGAAAGACAAGAUUAAACUAACUAUGUAUGAUCCUUUAGCACCGUACAGAUGGUCGAUGGGACAGUUACAUGGUUUAUAUAGAUGGACCUAUCUAUAUUCCUUCAGUGGUUGAGAAAAAGGUAAAGGUGUGUCACACUCACGUGUGCGCCGCCUCUGCCGAGAUGAGGCAUGGCGUUGCAAGGUGAGGCAUGGCAUGGUGCAGCACGAUCGCAGUCAUGGUCGUGGCACAGUGUAGCACUGUUGUGGAUAGAUAGAUAAACUAUUGUUGUAGUUAGAGUGCAUGAGUUUUUGAAUGCAACACUAGGAUUUUCACAAUUUAACUUAAUUAAGAAGUUAUAUCUUGAUGACACAGAGUUACCUGACCAUUGAUCUCACAUGCCCUUUUAGCUCUCUUGUUCUCUAGACUCACCCUGACUAUUGAGGUCUCUUGACUCGCCAAUAUAAACACCAUCCUAUCAUUUGCUCUCGAAUACUUUUGUGUCACAACUCAACUGUCAGAUGAGUACUCCAUUACAGCACUGAGCAGGCCUCCGAAAUGAAUAUCUACUCAGAUGAAGGACGACAAUCGUGUUCUAGGGAAAUAUCAGUGACACAACUCCUUACUUCCUCUGCUUCUUCCUAGUGUUUUUUGUUGUGAUUGAGUCGACACAGCAACAACACUGCACUAUUACAACCAGUACGACUAUAUUAACUAGCAAUGUCUUCCUUAUAUGUUACUAUUUAUUUUGCUCAUAUUCAUUAUGUUUAAAUCACAUAGGCACCUUUUUGUUGGCAUCAAAAAAUUAGUAUCAACUUUCUAGAUUAAAGUGAAACUAAAAGUACCUAAAUUUCUAUCGGUGGGGAUCGAGUGAUUCUUUAAACCGAUUAUUACACAAGUGAACCACACUAAAAUUAACAUUGGUGAAUCGUGCCAUGAUUUUUUCUAGUGGAAAAUAGCCAAACCAAGCAACACAUAUGUGGCUAUCGUUACACAUGUGUAAAGGUAUUGCAUCACACCAUUGUCACCCAUGUAUUUGGACAAUACCGAGAGGAAAAACCACUUAUUUAUUGUAUUUUAUCAAGUUUGUCUUGCUUACGUAUAAAUUAUAACCCAACAAAGUAAUCACUAAAUGUCAAAACCAACUAGAUACCAUGUCAUCUCUACCUUAUCUUACUAAUAUUCUUUUUGCAAAAUCCAAAAUUAAUCUUGCACAAGCACAAGGACUGAGAUGUGUAUAAAUAUCUCUUAAAUUAGUAGCUAAUAUAUCACACAUAUUAUUGAGACCAACUAGCAACAUAGAAAGCACAAUAGUGUACCAACAAUGGCAGCCAAAAUAUUUUGCCUCCUUAUGCUCCUUGGUCUUUCUGCAAGUGCUGCUACGGCGACCAUUUUCCCACAAUGCUCACAAGCUCCUAUAGCUUCCCUUCUUCCCCCGUACCUCUCACCAGCGGUGUCUUCGGUAUGUGAAAACCCAAUUCUUCAACCCUAUAGGAUCCAACAGGCAAUCGCAGCUGGCAUCUUACCUUUAUCACCCUUGUUCCUCCAACAAUCAUCAGCCCUAUUACAGCAGUUACCUUUGGUGCAUUUAUUGGCACAAAACAUCAGGGCACAACAACUACAACAACUUGUGCUAGCAAACCUUGCUGCCUACUCUCAGCAACAACAGUUUCUUCCAUUCAACCAACUAGCUGCAUUGAACUCUGCUUCUUAUUUGCAACAACAACAACUACCAUUCAGCCAGCUAUCUGCUGCCUACCCCCAGCAAUUUCUUCCAUUCAACCAACUGACAGCUUUGAACUCUCCUGCUUAUUUACAGCAGCAACAACUACUACCAUUCAGCCAGCUAGCUGGUGUGAGCCCUGCUACCUUCUUGACACAACCACAAUUGUUGCCGUUCUACCAGCACGCUGCGCCUAACGCUGGCACCCUCUUACAACUGCAACAAUUGCUGCCAUUCAACCAACUUGCUUUGACAAACCCAACAGCAUUCUACCAACAACCCAUCAUUGGUGGUGCCCUCUUUUAGAUUUCUUAUGAGUUAUAGUUCAAUAAUAAAGUUUUUUGUCUGAUGUUUGUGGCUUCCCAGAAAUAAGAAAGUACAUUUCUAGAUUCUUAUGUGCUUCUAGUCUCCAAAUGUGGUUGAUAGUUAUUUUGCUCUAAGAUUAGCAGUAAUGAAGUAUAAAUCAUCGUUGUGGUGUGCUACUCGGUUAAUUGAGCAUUAACACACACAAACAUGACGAGGAUGGUAUAAUCUCCAAAAAUGUGUACUUUGUUAGGUGGGACCCUAUAGCCUUGCAGAAUGUGCUACGUUAGGCAUGCCAAUGGAAACGUGUGACACAUACGUUUUGUGAAUCUGUUGAUAUUAUAUGUGCUUUUAUAUUACCAUAUUUUAUUAAAAUACUAAUAUUUAUUACUAGUAAGAUAUAACAUUCUAUCUAGCUUAAAAACUAACCAUAAAUAUUCCAUAAUAACUAGAUUUACCAAACUAAUAUACUAAAUAUACAUAAUAAAUAUAAAAUUAACAAGACAAUAAUUAAUAUUUAUGAGCUUAAUUUAUUUAGACAUUAUGGUUGGUCGACGAUAAUCAUGCUAACUUUCCGUAAUUGCUUGAUUGUAAAUAUGCUUAGAAUAAUGCCUCUUUGUUCUACAUGGCAAAUAGGGACCAUUAUGGUGUAACACCCCGGGAUCCACAAACACCCCGAAAUGCUACUAAACUACACAACUAACCUUCAUAUAUAAAAUUUCGACAGCAUCUCCUUUGAAAAUUUGCAUAAACGUGGAAGCAACAGAGUAUAAACAGAUAUCAUGAUAAGGAAACAUACUAGACAUUAAUAAUCUGCUAGAAAUGGGAAGAUAACCAUAACGACAUAAACUGAAUUAACUAGUGUGCACAACUUGUUAAAAACAAACAUCGUUGACAAGAAGUUUCUAAUUAAAUCAUGGUUGUGCCUGGGCAGCGUUAUUAUGAGAGUGAAGGUGGACGUGAUGCUACUUCCCUCAUUCCCAACAUGAAUCAAGUACCUGCAUUGAGUAAUGCAAGAGUGAGAUGAAAACAUCUCAGCAAGUAAAUUGUUUUGACGAGAUAUUUAAACCAAAAAAAUUGAUUUAAUCAACAUUUUAAAGGGAUCACAAUUGAGAUCAGAAAUACUUGUAGAUAUAGAACUCAAUAGUCCCAAAAUAACCAAUGCCAUCUCAUUUCCUCAAACAACCACAAUAGGUUGUAUAACACUUCCCUGCGUCAUCAAUACCUGCAAAUAUCACUUCAAUGUAUGCAUAGGAAUGCAAUGUUUAAGUCCUCUGCAUUCAUACUUCUUAGAGUAUAAAACCACACCAUCUGCAAAUAUCACUUCAAUGAAUGCAUAUGAAUGCAAUGCAUAUGUCCUCUGCCUUCAUACCUCUAAGGGUAUGAAGCCGCAUCGUACCCCUCCUCGGGCAACGUACGAUGCUAAGUUGUACCGGUACGGUCGGACCAUAGGUCACGACAAAACUUCAGAUGCAAGUGAAUCAUGACAUGUAUAUGGCAUGCUGCAUUUAUCAAUAUACUUCACUUCCUUCAUAUACAAUACAAACCUAAAAUAAUACUUCGUUUACCUUCAGAUACAAUACAAACCUCAAAUAAUACUUCAUUCACCUUCAGGGGUGUUUAUUAAUCUCGUGGGUCAUACUCAAAUCAUCAUCAUCAUCAAUGAUGUUUAAGCAUCAGUAUAAUACAAUCAAGUAAAGCAUCACCAUAGAGUUCAAUUAUGAAAGAAUUCGAUGAUUCUGAAUAUUAGAGUGUAUGCGAUGAAACAACAAAGUCAAAACGGUAGCAACCACCUCUACAUUCACUUGCCUUCAUCGAAGAAGAAAAAGGUACUAGGCAUGAUUCGGAGUGUAGACACCUGCUGUGGGGCUUAAAACUUAGUACAAAUAUUCCAUAAACAUUUGCCAACAAUUAACAAAUCGCUCCUACACUUGAAACCAAGACCCGGUGGAAUGACUCCCACCCUGAACCACAUGCCAAACAACAAUAGUGUUGUUUGUUAAUUUCUAUCUUUAAAAUUAUAACAGUGGUGAUAUCAAACAAAUACUCUAUACGUUUCUACACAAAAUACUCUACAACUUCGGUAUUCAAUGGAUAAUUAAAUUUUGCCAUCUAUAAGUUCUAAAACAUCUGACAAGAUAACUGACUGAAUCUGUUUCAGACAACAGCAUAGUUAACUUCAAAAUUCGAUAUCUCCCUAACUCCUCAACAAAAAAUUAUGAAAUUAUGCUGACAGUAAGAACUUUUAUCCCUCUACAAAAGUCUCCAUAGUUGAAAGAGCCAAUUCGGCCAUUUACUAGAUGAAACCUACCAGUUAACGGACCCGCUCAUUUUUGUCAAGCAAACAAGAACCCUUAUAUAUCAAAGAGUAGUGGAUUUGAAUUUGUCUAAUAUGAAGUUUACGGGCUUGGCUCAUUUAAAGUAUUUAAUAAUUCUGAAAGACAAGAUUAAACUAACUAUGUAUGAUCCUUUAGCACCGUACAGAUGGUCGAUGGGACAGUUACAUGGUUUAUAUAGAUGGACCUAUCUAUAUUCCUUCAGUGGUUGAGAAAAAAGUAAAGGUGUGUCACACUCACGUGUGCGCCGCCUCCGCCGAGACGAGGCAUGGCGUUGCAAGGUGAGGCAUGGCAUGGUGUAGCACGAUAGCAGUCAUGGUCGUGGCACAGUGUAGCACUGUUGUGGAUAGAUAGGUAAACUAUUGUUGUAGUUAGAGUGCAUGAGUUUUUGAAUGCAACACUAGAAUUUUCACAAUUUAACUUAAUUAAGAAGUUAUAUCUUGAUGACACAGAGUUACCUGACCAUUGAUCUCACAUGCCCUUUUAGCUCUCUCGUUCUCUAGACUCACCCUGACUAUUUAAGUCUCUUGACUCGCCAAUAUAAACACCAUCCUAUCAUUUGCUCUAGAAUACUUCUGUGUCACAACUCAACUGUCAGAUGAGUACUCCAUUACAGCACUUACGUACACGAGUUCUAUGAGAGCAGGCCUCCAAAAUGAAUAUCUACUUAGAUGAAGGACGACAAUCGUGUUCUAGGGAAAUAUCAGCGACACAACUCCUUACUUCCUUCGCUUCUUCCUAGUGUUUUUUGUUGUGAUUGAGUCGACACAGCAACAACACUGCACUAUUACAACCAGUACGACUAUAUCAACUAGCAAUGUCUUCCUUAUAUGUUACUAUUUAUUUUGCACAUAUUCAUUAUGUUUAAAUCACAUAGGCACCUUUCUAUUGGCAUCAAAAAAUUAGUAUCAACUUUCUAGAUUAAAAUGAAACUAAAAGUACAUAAAUUUCUAUCGGUGGGGAUCGAGUGAUUCUUUAAACCGAUUAUUACACAAGUUAACCACACUAAAAUUAACAUUGGUGAAUCGUGCCAUGAUUUUUUUUCUAGUGGAAAAUAGCCAAACCAAGCAACACAUAUGUGGCUAUCGUUACACAUGUGUAAAGGUAUUGCAUCACACUAUUGUCACCCAUGUAUUUGGACAAUACCGAGAGGAAAAACCACUUAUUUAUUGUAUUUUAUCAAGUUUGUCUUGCUUACGUAUAAAAUUAUAACCCAACAAAGUAAUCACUAAACGUCAAAACCAACUAGAUAUCAUGUCAUCUCUACCUUAUCUUACUAAUAUUCUUUUUGCAAAAUCCAAAAUUAAUCUUGCACAAGCACAAGGACUGAGAUGUGUAUAAAUAUCUCUUAAAUUAGUAGCUAAUAUAUCGCACAUAUUAUUUAGACCAACUAGCAACAUAGAAAGCACAAUAGUGUACCAACAAUGGCAGCCAAAAUAUUUUGCCUCCUUAUGCUCCUUGGUAUUUCUGCAAGUGCUGCUACGGCGACCAUUUUCCCGCAAUGCUCACAAGCUCCUAUAGCUUCCCUUCUUCCCCCGUACCUCUCACCAGCGGUGUCUUCGGUAUGUGAAAACCCAAUUCUUCAACCCUACAGGAUCCAACAGGCAAUCGCAGCUGGCAUCUUACCUUUAUCACCCUUGUUCCUCCAACAAUCAUCAGCCCUAUUACAGCAGUUACCUUUGGUGCAUUUAUUGGCACAAAACAUCAGGGCACAACAACUACAACAACUUGUGCUAGCAAACCUUGCUGCCUACUCUCAGCAACAGCAGUUUCUUCCAUUCAACCAACUAGCUGCAUUGAACUCUGCUUCUUAUUUGCAACAACAACAACUACCAUUCAGCCAGCUACCUGUUGCCUACCCCCAGCAAUUUCUUCCAUUCAACCAACUGGCAGCAUUGAACUCUCCUGCUUAUUUACAGCAGCAACAACUACUACCAUUCAGCCAGCUAGCUGGUGUGAGCCCUGCUACCUUCUUGACACAACCACAGUUGUUGCCGUUCUACCAGCACGCUGCGCCUAACGCUGGCACCCUCUUACAACUGCAACAAUUGCUGCCAUUCAACCAACUUGCUUUGACAAACCUAGCAGUGUUCUACCAACAACCCAUCAUUGGUGGUGCCCUCUUUUAGAUUUCUUAUGAGUUAUAGUUCAAUAAUAAAGUUUUUUGUCUGAUGUUUGUGGCUUCCCAGAAAUAAGAAAGUACAUUUCUAGAUUCUUAUGUGCUUCUAGUCUCCAAAUGUGGUUGAUAGUUAUUUUGCUCUAAGAUCAGCAGUACAACAACAACAACAACAACAACAACAACAACAACAAAGCCUUUUUGUCCCAAGCACGUUGGGGUAGGCUAGAGAUGAAACCCCGUAUGAAAACCUCAGAGCUCAACCCCCAAAGAACAGAAAAGGGAAACAAAGGCAAAGGAGAACCGAAAACAACGAAACGGGGAAACACAUAAAAGAGAUAAAACCCACAAGGACCAGCAAGAUCUAAAAUGGACACAAGAAAAGGUCAAACGAUUAAGGAGGAAAAGCGAAACUAUCAAUCAGGGUUCUGGCACGUGAAUUGCACACUUCCACCCCUUCCUAUCUGCGGCGAGCUCUUUGUCAAUAUUCCACUCCUUCAGGUCUCUCUUCACAGCCUCUGUCCACGUCAAAGUUGGUCGACCUCUACCUCUCUUCACAUUUUCGGGACGCCUAAUUAUUCCGAUAUGCACUGGUGCCUCUUCAGGUCUUCGUUGGAUAUGUCCAAACCAUCUCAAGCGAUGUUGCAUAAGCUUCUCCUCAAUUGGCGCCACUCCUACUCUCUCUCGUAUAUCAUCAUUCCGGACUCGAUCUCUCCUUGUGUGGCCACAUAUCCAGCGCAACAUACGCAUCUCUGCCACACUUAGUUGUUGGACAUGUCGUCUUUUAGUGGGCCAACAUUCUGCUCCAUACAACAUAGCCGGCCGGAUUGCUGUCCUGUAGAAUUUGCCUUUUAGUUUGCGUGGCACCCGGUGGUCGCAUAAGACACCCGCAGCUUGUCGCCACUUCAACCAUCCGGCUUUAAUUCUAUGACUGACAUCCUCAUCGAUGUCUCCCUCCUUUUGAAGCAUUGAUCCUAAGUAACGAAAAGUGUCUUUCUUGGGUACCACUUGCCCAUCAAGACUAACAUCGCCAUCCUCAUACCCCAUGGCACUGAAAUCACACUUCAUAUACUCUGUUUUAGACCUACUAAGCCUAAAACCUUUUGCUUCCAGCGUCUGCCUCCACAAUUCCAACUUUUGAGAAACACCACUCCUACUCUCCUCAAUAAGUACCACAUCAUCGGCAAAAAGCAUACACCACGGUAAAACUCCUUGUAUGUCCCUUGUGACCUCAUCUAUCACCAAAGCGAAAAGAUAAGGGCUCAAAGCCGACCCUUGAUGUAGUCCUAUGUUAAUUGGAAAGUCAUCGGUGUCUCCAUCACUUGUUCGGACACUUGUCACAACAUUAGUGUACAUAUCUUUAAUAAGAUUAAUGUACUUUGUUGCUACUUUGUGUUUUUCCAAGGCCCACCACAUUACACUCCUAGGUACUUUGUCAUAAGCCUUCUCCAAGUCUAUGAAGACCAUAUGCAGGUCUUUCUUUUGUUCUCUGAAUCUCUCCAUAAGUUGUCUUAGUAAGAAAAUGGCCUCCAUAGUUGAUCUCCCGGGCAUGAAACCAAACUGAUUUUGGGUCACGCUCGUCAUCUUUCGCAGGCGGUGUUCAAUGACUCUCUCCCAUAGCUUCAUUGUAUGGCUCAUGAGCUUAAUUCCACGGUAAUUAGUACAACUUUGAACAUCUCCUUUGUUCUUGAAGAUUGGUACUAAUGUACUCCGCCGCCACUCGUCGGGCAUUCUGUUUGCCCGAAAGAUGGUGUUGAAAAGCUUAGUCAGCCAUACUAUCGCUAUGUCUCCAAGACAUCUCCAUACCUCGAUAGGGAUACCAUCAGGGCCCAUCGCCUUUCCUACCUUCAUCCUUUUUAGCGCCUCCUUAACUUCAUAUUCUUGUAUCCUUCGUACAAAACCCCUGUUGUUGUCAUCGAAUGGUUCGUCCAAUUCUAUUGUAGCACUCUCAUUCCCUCCAUUGAACAAUUUGUUGAAGUACUCCUUCCAUCUGUUCUUGAUCUCUUCACUCUUCACUAAUAGUUGGUUUGCUUCGUCCUUGAUGCAUUUGACUUGGUUGACAUCCCUUGUCUUCCUUUCACGAAUCUUGGCCAUCCUAUAGAUAUCCUUUUCUCCCUGCUUUGUGUCCAGCCGUUGAUAAAGGUCGUCAUAGGCUUGACCCCGGGCUCUACUAACCGCUCGCUUUGCAGACUUCUUCGCUAUCCUGUACUUCUCUAUGUUUUCUGCACACUUGUCAUGAUGUAAGCGUUUGUAGCAAUCUUUCUUCUCCUUGAUAGCCUUUUGGACAUCUUCGUUCCACCACCAAGUGUCUUUAACUUCCCUUCUGUUCCCUUGACUCAACCCAAACUCUUCUGAAGCUAUCUUUCGGAUGCAUGUCGCCAUCUUCCUCCACAUGAUAUUUGCGUCUUCCUCUCCUGCCCAAGGGCCCUCCUCGAUAACUCUCUUCUUGAAAGUUUGGGCCACAUCCCCUUUAAGCUUCCACCACUUUGUUCUAGUGACCUUGUUAUGCUUAUUUCGUUGUAAACGAAUCUUAAAACGGAAGUCAGCAACGACAAGCUUAUGUUGGGUUACCACACACUCUCCAGGUAUAACCUUGCAAUCUAAGCAGGCAUGCCUGUCCUCUUUUCUCAAGAGGACGAAAUCAAUCUGGCUAGUGUGUUGGCCACUACUGAAGGUCACCAGGUGGGAUUGCCUCUUCUUAAAGAAAGUGUUUGCUAUAAACAUGUCAUAGGCUAGGGCAAAGUUCAGGAUUUCCUCUCCUUCUUGAUUCCUAGUCCCAAAGCCGAAGCCUCCAUGUACACCCUCGAAACUGGUGCUAGAUGUACCCACAUGGCCAUUGAGAUCUCCUCCUAUGAAGAGCUUCUCGCCAACUGGCACACUACUAACCAUGUCCUCUAGGCCUUCCCAGAACUCUCUCUUUGAGUUCUCAUUAAGGCCUACUUGAGGAGCAUACGCGCUGAUAACAUUGAGAACCAAGUCUCCAAUGACCAGCUUGACUAGGAUGAUUCUAUCUCCUACCCUCUUAACAUCUACUACCCCAUCUUUGAGGCUCUUGUCGAUCAAGACGCCUACUCCAUUCUUGUUUGUUGCAGUCCCCGUGUACCACAACUUGAAACCUGUACCUUUCACUUCCUUCGCCUUCUGUCCCUUCCACUUGGUCUCUUGAACGCAUAAAAUAUUUACCCGUCUCCUCACCGCAACGUCAACUAUUUCUCGUAACUUACCUGUUAAGGAACCUACGUUCCAACUGCCUACACGGACCCUAGUUGGCUCGACUAGCUUCCUUACCCUUCGCACCCGCCGAGGAAGAUGCAAAGACCCUUGCUCAUUUUUCACUACACCCGGGCGCCGAUGUAGCGCGCCACUAAGGAUGCGACGACCCGAUCCUUGCUCACUUAUCACCGGCUCCAGAUCAAGAGACAGCGCGUCACUUGAGGGGUGACGACCCGGCCCUUGCUCAUUUAACACCAUACCCGGGUUCCGAUAUGGCGCGUCGCUAAGAGGGUUACGCCCCAACGGUUUUCUUUGUGGUUUCAUCUCCAUAAGAUUUGGCUGGUUUUUUACGUUGGUUUGCCGGACCUAACACAACCCUCCUCCUUUACCGGGCUUGGGACCGGCUAUGUUGAAACGACUCAAGGAAGUCUUCCAAUCAACAUAGGCGGAGUUUAAGAUCAGCAGUAAUGAAGUAUAAAUCAUCGUUGUGGUGUGCUACUCGGUUAAUUGAGCAUUAACACACACAAACAUGACGAGGAUGGUAUAAUCUCCCAAAAUGUGUACUUUGUUAGGUGGGACCCUAUAGCCUUGCAGAAUGUGCUACGUUAGGCAUGCCGAUGGAAACGUGUGACGCAUACGUUUUGUGAACCUGUUGAUAUUAUAUGUGCUUUUAUAUUACCAUAUUUUAUUAAAACACUAAUAUUUAUUACUAGUAAGAUAUAACAUUCUAUCUAGCUUAAAAACUAACCAUAAAUAUUCCAUAAUAACUAGAUUUACCAAACUAAUAUACUAAAUAUACAUAAUAAAUACAAAAUUAACAAGACAAUAAUCAAUAUUUAUGAGCUUAAUAUAUUUAGACAUUAUGGUUGGUCGACGAUAAUCAUGCUAACUUUCCGUAAUUGCUUGAUUGUAAAUAUGCUUAGACUAAUGCCUCUUUGUUCUACAUGGCAAAUAGGGACCACUCUAGGAGACUAGGAUGUUGCUUGAGAUGAAAAUGUCAGAAUUGGUGUAGACUAAUUUCUAUCGGCCGCUGACUUCACUAUUGUAACCAUUAUAUCUUGGGUAAAUUAUAUACGAUUAUCCAGCCAAAGGGCCCAGAUGAUAAAAAACAAUUUUUAAUUGCUAUUUUAGGACAAAUGAAUUAGCAUGGUUCGAAGGAUUACGACCUUCCCCCCAUGACCUUUGUCAUACUGCUUUAGUCUAAUCGACAAAACCAAGAUUAGUUAUCAUCGAAGAAGUUCAUAAGCGAAGUUGUGACGAUGAAAGGAACAUGGUGGUAAUUGGACGAACGACGACACCUUUGUCUAAGAAUGGCAUCUAGAAGAAAUCUCAGACAAAAUAAGACAUGAAUGGCUUGUCAGUACAGCGCAAAUACUGAAACAUGCGCCCUUGAAUAUGAAACAUUUAUAUGUAAGAGGAAGGGAUAAAAAAACUAAUUACUCGUGCCUAAUGAUUUUAUUGGGAAUUUUAAGGCGAGACUUAUGGCAAAGGGUUAUACCAAAAAUAGGGGAGAGAUUAUUUCGAUACUUAUUCACUUGUUUCCCUUCAAAUGGCCAUACAUGUGUUACUUUUUUUGGCUGCCUCGCAUGGUCUUAUCGUUCAUCAGAUGAAUGUUAAGACUGCUUUCCCAAAUGGAGAGCUUAAGGAACAGAUCUACAUUGACUAGCCUAGUGGUUUUAUAUCAAAUGGUAAAGAGGAAAAGGUGUUUAAAAUAAUUGUUUGGUUUAAAACAAGCACCAAAGCACAUGAGAAAAUCGAUAAAGUUCUGACUUUGGCUAAAUUUGUUGUAAAUGAAGUUGAUAAAUGUGUCCAUUACCAGUUUGACAGGGGCGAAGGUAUGACCUUUUUAUAUGUGGACAAAAUAUUAACCUUUUGUAACGAUGUUAAUAUGAUAGAAGAAGUAAAGUAAUUUUUGUCUAGUAACUUAGAAAUAAACAAUCUGGGAGAGGCUAAUGUUGUUCUUAACAAAGAGAUGUUGAGAGAAGGAGGAAAUAGAGGGUUACUCUUGUGCAAUCCUAUUAGGUUGAAAAGUCGCUGAGUCGCUUUGGAUAUAGUGAUUACACGUCUGGUCCAACAACUUAUGACCCAAGUGUGUUAUUAAGGAAAAAUCAUAUAAUUGCAUAUGAUCAAUUGAGAUAUUGUCAAAUCAUGGUCUUCUCAUAUAUUUGGCAAGCCCAACGAUGUCUCAUAUCUGAUUUGUUAUGAGCAAACUCAGUUGCCUUGUCUCCAAUCUAGGGGAGGAUCAUGACAUGCCCUAGAGAGGGUAUUGCGCUUUCUCAAAGGGAUAUGAGUAAUGUCAUUUACUAUACUAGGCACCUAAGAGUACCAGAGUGUUAUAGUCAUGCAAAUAGGAUAUCUGAUGUUGAUUAGAUUUAUGCCACAAGUAGACUUGUGUGCUUCCUUGGAGGUGUGAUUGUUUCAUGGAAGUCUUGUAAGUAGACCAUCUUAACAAGGUCAACAAUAGAAGUAGAACUCACAACAUUAUAUACUACCAAAGUUGAAGUUGAUUGGCUCCGUGAACUCCUUACGGAUUUACCAGUAGUUGAAAAACCAAUACUGGUUAUCUCUAUGAGCUACAAUAAUCAAACAUUUGUAAUCGAAGUAAACAGUUCUAAAGUUAACAUGAUGUCUACAAAGCAUGUAAAAAUGGUUGAAACUGUUAAAACACUAAGAAACUCUAGAUUAAUUAUGUUGGACUAUAUCCAUACAUCGAAUUUGGUAUGCCAGUUUACAGAAGAUUUGUCACAUAAUAUGAUUCAAGGUGCAUCGAGGAAUAUGGGCUUGAGACCCACUUAAUGUCAAUCCAUAGUGGUAGCAGUUUCUAUGUGAUUGGAGAUCCCAUAAAGUAGAAUGGUGAAACAAGCUAGAGAAUGACUGAUGGAGAGACUCCUUAAAUAAAAUCUUGAUAAUUUGAGAUGCACAUUUCUCAUUUGAUGUAUUGUAGGCGAACUAAAAUCUUAAUAUGAUUUGAGUGACUUAUCUAAGCAGGGAUGUUAUCUUACAGAACAUCCUAGAAAGAACACACCUAUAUGAGUUUGCAUGUUAGUCAUAGUCUAUCAUGUGUGGUAAUCUUUAUAUACUCAUGAAAGGCUUGAAGUUUGACUUAUAUGCUUCAAACCAAGGGGGUGCUUGUAACAGUCUAGUACAAGAUAAGAACAUUGGUAAAACUCACUUAACGCAAAAUUGUCAAUUUAAGGCAUAGUUCAUUGUUUAGAUGUGAAUGUGUAAUCCCUGUUCUAGAUGGAUGGUCAACUUAACAGCCUCCACCAAAACCCUGAUAUCUCAAAGAGUAGUGGAUUUGAGUUUGUCUAAUAUGUGGUUUAGAUUUUGGUGGGGAAUUUUAAUAUUUUAUGGGCUUGGCCCAUUUAAGGUAUUUAAUACUUUCAAAAGACAAGAUUAAACAUGUGUGAAUAGUGUCAUGAUUUUUUUCUAGUGCAAAAUAGCCCAACAAAUCAACACAUAUGUGGCUAUCAUUACACAUGUGUAAAGGUAAUGCAUCACACCAUUGUCACCCAUGUAUUUAGAAAAUACCAAGAAGAAAAACAACUUGUUUAUUGUAUUUUAUGGAGAUUAUCUUGCUUACAUAUAAUUAUAACCCAACAAAGUGGUCACUAAAUGUCAAAACCAACUAGGUACCAGGUCAUCUCUAGCUUAUCUUGCUAAUGAUAUUUUUGCAAAAUCCAAAAUUAAUCUUGCACAAGCACAAGGACUGAGAUGUGUAUAAAAAUCUCUUAGAUUAGUAGGUAAUCCAUCACACAAAGCGCAAUAGUGUAGCAAAACUGGCAGUCAAAAUAUUUUGCCUCCUUAUGCUCCUUGCUCUUUCUGCAAGUGCUGCUAACGCGACCAAUUUUCUGCAAUGCUCACAAGAUCCAAUUGCUUCCCUUCUUCCCUCAUACCUCUCACCAGCGACAUCUUCAGUAUGUGAAAACCCAAUUCUUCAACCCUAUAGGAUCCAACAGGCAAUCACAGCAAGCAUCUUACCUUUAUCACCCUUGUUCCUCCAACAACCGCCAGCCCUGUUACAACAAUUACCUUUGGUGCAUUUGUUGGAACAAAGCAUCAAGGCACAACAACUACAACAACCUGUGCUGACAAACCUUGUUGCCUACUCUCAGCAACAAUAGUUUCUUCCAUUCAACCAACUGGCUGCACUGAACUCUGCUGCUUAUUUGCAACAACAACAACAACUUCCAUUCACCCAGCUAGCUGCUGCCUACCCCCAACAAUUUCUUCCAUUCGACUAACUGGCUGCAUUGAACUCUGUUGCUUAUUUACAACAGCAACAACUAAUACCAUGAAACCAGCUAGCUGUUGCGAGCCCUGCUACCUUCUUGACACAACCACAGUUGAUGUCGUUCUACCUGCAAGCUGUGGCUAACGUCGGCACCCUCUUACAACUACAACAAUUGUUGCCAUUCAUCCAACUUGCUUUGACAAACCCAAUAGUGUUCUACCAACAACCCAUCAUUGGUGGCGCCCUCUUUUAUAUUUCUUAUGGGUUAUAGUUCAAUAAUGAAGUUUUUGGCUGAUGUUUGUGGCUUCCCAGAAAUAAGAAAGUAUAUUUCUAGAUUCUUAUGUGCUACUAGUCUCCAAAUGUGGUUGAUAAUUAUGUUGCUCUAAGAACGGGAGUAAUGAGGUAUAAAUCAUUGUUGAGGUGUGAUACUCGGGUAGUUGAGCAUUAGCACGCACAAAUAUGAUGAGGACGGUAUAAUCUCCAAAAAUAUGUACUUUGUUAGGUGGGACCCUAUAGCCAUGCAGAAUGUGCUCUGUUAGACACGUCGAUGGAAACGUGUCACACAUACGUUUUGUGAACCUAUUGAUAUUGUAUGUGCUUUUAGUUGUGUGGUGCUAUAGAUAUGAGGGCUUGUUUCACGUAAUGAGCUAGGGUAGAAAAAUAAUUAUUUGCCUUGGAUUGUUAUGGAAGAACAUACCAAUUGUGACUGCCAUCUCAAUCUAGCUAACAUCUAAGUGACCUAAAAGGAGAGCAUAAGGAACUGAUCUACAAUGACUAGCCUAGUGGUUUUAUAGGAAAUGGCAAAGAGGAAAAUGUGUUUAAGUUAUUACAAUUGUAUGGUUUAAAACAAGCACCUAAGCACAUGAGAAAUUUUAUGAAGUUCUGACUUUGGCUAAAUUUGUUGUAAAUGAAGCUGAUAAAUGUGUCUAUUGCUAGUUUGAGAGGAGGGAUGGCAUGACCUGUUUUUUAUAUUUGGAUGAUAUAUUAAUCUUUUGUAAUGAUGUUAAUAUUAUCGAGGAAGUAAAAUACUCUUUGUGUGGUAACUUUGAAAUAAAUGAUUUUGGAGAGGCUAAUGUUGUUCUUAACAUAAAGAUGUUGGGAGAAGGAGGAAAUAGGGGGUAACUCUUGUGAAUCCUAUUAGGUUGAAAAGACAUUUAGUUGUUUUGGAUAUAGUAACUACACAUCUGGUCAAAUUACUUAUGACACAAGCGUGUUGUUAAGGAAAAUGAUAUAAUCGCAUAGAAUCAAAUGAGAUACUAUCAAAUCAUGGUCUUCUCGUGUAUUUGGCUAAUCCAACGAGGCCUAAUAUCUCAUUGCUAUGAUUAAACUUAGUCGAUUUGUAUACAAUGUAGGGGAUGAUCAUGGCAAGCCCUAGAGAGGGUAUUGCGCUACCUAAAAGGGACUAUGAGUAAUGUAAUUUACUAUACCAGGCACCUAAGGGUACCAGAGUGUUACAAUGAUGCAAACAAGAUAUCUGAUGGUGACGAGAUUUAUGCCACAAGUGGAUAUGUGUGCUUGCUUGGAGGUGUGAUAGUUUCAUGGAAGUCUUGUAAGUAUACCAUCUUAACAAGAUCAACAAAACAAGUAGAACUGGCAACAUAAGAUACUACCAUAGUUGAAGCUAAGUGGCUUCUUGAACUCCUUAUGGAUUUACCAGUAGUUGAAAACUAAUAGUGGUUAUCUCUAUGAUCUAUGAUAAUCAAAUAGUCGUAAUCAAAGUGAACAGUUCUAAGGAUAACAUGAAUUCUACAAAGCAUGUCAAAAAGCGAUUGAAACUAUUAGAACACUAAGAAUCUCUAGAGUAAUUGUGUUGGACUAUGUCCAUACAUCUAAGAAUUUGGUAGGUCGAUUUAGAGAAGGUUUGUCCAUAAUGUGAUAGAUGGUGCAUCGUGUAAGAUGGGCUUGAGACCCUCUUAAUGCCAUUCCUUAGUGGUAGCAUGUUCUAUGUGAUUGGAGAUCUCGUGAAGUAGAAUGGUGAAACAAGAUAGAGAAUGACUGAUGGAGAGACUCCUUAAAUAAAAUCUAGGUAAUUUGAUAUGCAUAUUUCUCCUUUGAUGUAUCGUAGGCUAACUAAAAUCUUAAUAUGAUCGGAGUGAUUUAUCUAAGCAGGGAUGUUAUCUUAUAGAACAUCCUAGAAGGAACACACCUAUAUGAGUUUGACUGCUAUUCAUAGUCUAUGAUAUUUGGGAAAUCUUUAUAUACACCUGAAAGGCCUAGAAAUGUGACUUCUAUGCUUCAAACCAAGGGGAUGCUUGUAACAAUCUAGUAUCAGAUAAGAACUUUGGUGAAACUCACUUCAUGCAAAACCGUUAAUUCAAAGCAUAGUCCAUUGUUCAGAUGUGAAUGUAUAACCCAUGUUCUAGAUGGAUGGUCAACUUAAUAGCCUCCACCAAGACCAUGAUAUAUCAAAGAGUAGUGGAUUUGAGUUUGUCCAAUAUGUGGUUUAGAUUUUGGUGGGGAAUGUUAAUAUUUUAUUGGCUUGACCCAUUUAAAGUGUUUAAUAAUUUUGAAAGACAAGAUUAAACAAAC
Molecule: long non-coding RNA, 19626 nt
Filed under: Zea mays
Lineage: Eukaryota; Viridiplantae; Streptophyta; Magnoliopsida; Poales; Poaceae
Description: long non-coding RNA (ZMAY_LNC002145)
Source: RNAcentral